Molecule: ribosomal RNA, 495 nt
Filed under: uncultured bacterium
Lineage: Bacteria
Description: partial 16S ribosomal RNA
Rfam family: Bacterial small subunit ribosomal RNA
Source: RNAcentral
GACGAACGCUGGCGGCGUGCCUAAUACAUGCAAGUAGAACGCUGAAGGAGGAGCUUGCUCUUCUGGAUGAGUUGCGAACGGGUGAGUAACGCGUAGGUAACCUGCCUGGUAGCGGGGGAUAACUAUUGGAAACGAUAGCUAAUACCGCAUAACAGUAUAUGUUGCAUGACAUUUGCUUAAAAGGUACAAUUGCACCACUACCAGAUGGACCUGCGUUGGAUUAGCUAGUUGGUGGGGUAACGGCUCACCAAGGCGACGAUUCUUAGCCGACCUGAGAAGGUGAUCGGCCAACCUGGGAAUGAGACACCGCCCAGACUCCCAAGGGAAGGAGCAGUAGGGAAACUUCCGCAAUGGACGGAAGUCUGAACGAGGCAAGCCGCGUGAGGGAAGAAGGUUUUCGGAUCGUAAAGCCCUGUUGUAAGAGAAGAACGAGUGUUAGAGUGGAAAGUUCACACUGUGACGGUAUCUUACCAGAAAGCGACGGCUAACUACGUG